RNAcentral lists this long non-coding RNA (1087 nucleotides) under Saimiri boliviensis boliviensis (Bolivian squirrel monkey). RNAcentral's name for it is "lncRNA (ENSSBOG00000036600.1)". The record is from RNAcentral. Lineage: Eukaryota; Metazoa; Chordata; Mammalia; Primates; Cebidae.
AUAUACAGAAAUGCGCGAGGCGGUGGUUGGUUUUCAUUUCUUCUUCGUGGUUGUGUGCAUGCGGUGGGAUUGUGCGAGUGCGUUCGUGAGAGCUGUGGGCGGCGUUGGCUGCUUCCGAGUGUGGUCUUCUUGGCGGAAGGCUGUGUGUCCGAGUGUGGUGGUGCCUGCGCGGUUGGGGUGUGUAGAUGUGGACCCUUCGAGGCCCCUCUGCGUUUUCUUCGUUGCGUACGAUUGUGUUCGGUUGGUGUUCUCGGCAGGGCUCUGGUUCUGUGUGUGGGGUGUGUGGCCUCUGCGACUGUGUUUGGGUAGUGUCGUCGUUAUGUCGGGCAUGUGUGAUCCCGACUGUGCUGGGUUGUGUGUCCGUGAGCCGCUGCAUUUGACUGAUUUCGUUGUGUCCUGUUGGGCGGUAUGCGGAGCUGACCAUGUCGGCUCCUGGGGCAGUGCUGGGUGGUGCUUGUUUGCUACCCUUCUGUGGGGCUGGACCCUGUGUGGUCCUGUCCGCGCUGAGUUGUGUGCCUGUGUGCCUGUGUCCUUUAGAGGUGCGUUUGCAAAUCUCUGGGGGCGGGAGUGCGGGGAGGGCGAGCGAGAGAUCGAGGCGCUGGUGGGGGAGGCGGCAUGGGGGCGGGGAGCGGGAUUUCACAUUUUAUUCCAAAUUAUGAUGUAUUCGGGAGCCAGUCGUUGGCUUGGAUGGGCGGACGGCGCUGGGUCGGCGGCUGCUCUGCCGGGAGGCCCGCCUGUGCCUCGUUGUUUUGAAGGGGUCGUUGGUGAGUGGGAGGCUUCUCCAGGCUUGAAGCUGAGCAGCGCUCGCGGAGGCCGGCGCCUUAGAGCCUGUGGCUGCGGGCCUCGGUUCCCGCCGCACUCCGGCUUCGUCCAUUUCUGAUCGCCCAGGACCACACCGCAGCGUAACUGCAGGCCUCUCAGCGAAAAAGGGGGAAAGCAAAGCCUGGGGUCCGCAUCCUCCACCUCGGCUUCCGCCCCUCUCCGGCGGAGUGGAGAUCCUAUUCAGAGGGUCCAGUCUCUCUAAAUAUGCCCCAGGUGAGUUUUCAAGGGGAUGGUGCCAGUGGAAAGUGUCCAGGAAGGCCUUGGG